Molecule: ribosomal RNA, 253 nt
Filed under: uncultured bacterium
Lineage: Bacteria
Description: partial 16S ribosomal RNA
Rfam family: Bacterial small subunit ribosomal RNA
Source: RNAcentral
UACGUAGGGUGCAAGCGUUGUCCGGAUUUAUUGGGUUUAAAGGGUGCGUAGGUGGCUUUUUAAGUCAUGGGUGAAAGCCCGCAGCUCAACUGUGGAAUUGCCUGUGAUACUGAGGAGCUUGAGUGCGGUUGAGGCAGCUGGAAUUGGUGGUGUAGCGGUGAAAUGCAUAGAUACCACCAGGAACACCGAUUGCGAAGGCAGGUUGCUAAGCCGUAACUGACACUUAGGCACGAAAGCGUGGGAAGCAAACAGG